RNAcentral lists this non-coding RNA (23 nucleotides) under Cricetulus griseus (Chinese hamster). The record is from RNAcentral. Lineage: Eukaryota; Metazoa; Chordata; Mammalia; Rodentia; Cricetidae.
ACUAAGGCUGACUGCUCGGAAGU